CUAAUUACUGGCUAUAACUUAAACAUAAGAUAAAGCUAGUUCUAAACUAGAAAUAAUUUUGGAAAUUUUAGUACUUGCUUUUUGGAUGAUAAAUCAAGAAUUUAUCAUGACUUAGAGACUGACAAUUUUCUAUAAAAGAAUGUGAUAAAAAAUAAUUGCUACUUAAAUUCUGACAUGUUUUGAGAAGAAAAGUUAAAUACAGAUUUUAUGGCUUUGGUUCAAUCUGAACUAUUGGAGGAGGGUCUUAAAAAAUAAAAAACAUGUUCACCAUAGAUAAUGAUGAUGUCUUGAAAAUAUAUUAUCUCGAGGACAUAAAACAUAGGCUUUAUUUAAAUAAGCAAAAACAAAAAACUAGAACUAAUAAAAUGAAUUAUUAAAAUGUUUCCUGUGGUUUACUUAUAUCUUUCAAAAGGUAUAUACUGAAGUAAACUUCGAUUUGCUAAUGAUCCUUAUUUUAGAUGUAGUUAACGUCGAUUUUCUUCAGGAGCAAAAUAAUUAGAACCCUCUAAGGUGCCCAAUGACACUUUUUAGUAAUGACAGAAAAAAGAGUAGUGAUGUGAAUAGUAUUUGAAGAAUUACAGAUGAUACUAUGGGAUUCAUUUCCUCCAGUGCACCUUGCAGUGAUACAAUAAUAACGAUAUGACAAAUGUAUCGAACUACAUUUAUAACAUGCAUAAAUUUACAAAUAGUUACCCUAUAUCAAAAUAUCUUACUGUAAAAUGAGGUCUACACUGUAGCUCAGAAUAGUAUCUCAAUUCCAUUUUUCUCCAUAUUGAAGGAGGCAUCCUGACAGAGGCUGAUGUCCUGAAUCUCUUCAGAAAUAUAUACAGCUCCAAAGUGGAAAACACUUUGUAACAGGCAAGCACAAAGUGUAUCUCUUCUUUUGGUUGAACAAAGUAAAACAGUACCUUGUUUGUAAUGAAGUAUUACUGAAUAUACCAUAAUGCCUGUGAUAAUUAACAUUAAAUACUGAUGUGCAGAAGAGACAUGGGAGAAUGAAGAAAAAGAAACAAAAGGGCUGUUUUGCAAAAGCAGAGUUACAAGUCAAGAAAAAAUAAAUAUAACCAGGAAUCAGAUACCAAAUUGCUCUAGUCCAAAUAAGUAAUAGACAUUACUUUGGACAUGUCAAAGACUCUAAAAUAACAGAUAUUUUAAAAGUAACCUUAAGAUGGGAAACUGAAGACUGUUUCAUUGAGUGUGUCUUAUCUAAAAUUGUCCUGGAAUAAAACUAGAUUUAAAGAAGGAUUCAGGAUGUACUCAGAUGCAGGAGCUGCCCUUUAAGCACACAUGACUGAAACUAUCCUUAUAUAAACAGAAAAUCCAAGCUCUUGGUCCCAGAUCCCUAACAGCCUAUGAGAUAAUUCAAAGAGCAUGUACAGAUAUGAGUGAGUGUAUAUGUGUCUGAGCCUUAACAUUUUUAGCAGUAAACUGAACCUAUUUUACAAAUUAAACAGUUUAUGUAAUGCAGUAAAUUUUAAACAUUUUUCUCAUUACAGUUGUCAAAAAAAAUGAAUGUUAAGGUGGUUCUAAUUCUAAAAUAUCUGUAACAAGGUAAAAAUUCUGCAUUGCAUAUUUUAUAACCAGACAUUCUAAAACAGGGAGGAAAUUAAAGAUUAAUGAACCAGA
Vicugna pacos (alpaca) is the source of this 1626-nucleotide non-coding RNA. NCBI's taxonomy places the organism in Eukaryota, Metazoa, Chordata, Mammalia, Artiodactyla, Camelidae. The record is from RefSeq and is a predicted model, not a curated record.